AACCCCCAAGCUGACAAAGAAUUGUUCUAAAUGUUACAACAAACCUUUCUAUUUUUGUGAAUUUAGUGGGCAAAGCAAAAUUACUAGCAAAGGCCAAAGAAAGUUUACAAAAAGAUUCUCAUUUUGCCAAUUAAAGCAAAUUAACUAUAUAUUAACAAGACAAAAAUUUUCCUGGUUGGCAUAAAUUUCAGUAAAGCAAUCUGAUUAUCAAACACUUAGCUACAUAAUCUUGCCACUUAAGCACAAUCUUCUGUCGGCAAAAUAAGCUCGAACUUAUCCUUCCUUUCCAUUUUUAGUAACUGCAACUUUUUCAUUGAACGAACCAUGAUGUUCCCAUUUCUCAUUUCAAUGAAAAUUUGAUAAUGAAAAAUAGAACACAGAACCCAUUUUCAAUUUGAAGAGGAGAGGGGAGAAAAUGAGCAUACCGAGAAUGUAGAAGGGGAAGCGUAGGUGAGUGGAGUAAACAAACAAGGCAAAAGAACUGGGAAAAGCAACAGAAAUAACCCAGCAAUUGCUUCUCCCUUAAGAGGCUGAUGAUAGUCGCUCUGGUAAUGAAACCUCAUAAUCCCCCUUAAAGUUGAGAAACACAGAUCUCCAAAUUGACCACUUUCCUCAAUUUGUUUUCUUCUUUGUUGGCUUUGGUUGGCAUUGAUGGUGAAAACCACUCGAACAAACGAACACAAACAAAAUCUAAUCAACAGCUAUAAAAAAAGAGCUCAACUCAAGCACCCAACAUCACAUGAUGAAUCUCUCUCUCUUUUUCUU
Molecule: long non-coding RNA, 765 nt
Filed under: Gossypium raimondii (Peruvian cotton)
Lineage: Eukaryota; Viridiplantae; Streptophyta; Magnoliopsida; Malvales; Malvaceae
Description: long non-coding RNA (GRAI_LNC006369)
Source: RNAcentral